Gracilinanus agilis (Agile Gracile Mouse Opossum) is the source of this 102-nucleotide small nuclear RNA. The record is from RefSeq and is a predicted model, not a curated record. Lineage: Eukaryota; Metazoa; Chordata; Mammalia; Didelphimorphia; Didelphidae.
CUGACUUCAGCAUCUAACACACAAAAAUUGGAAUGAUACAGAGUAGAUCAACAACCUUUGUACAAUGAUGGCAUGCAAAUUCAUGAAAUCUUCCAUAUUUUU